RNAcentral lists this ribosomal RNA (235 nucleotides) under uncultured bacterium. Its description in RNAcentral is "partial 16S ribosomal RNA". It matches the Rfam family "Bacterial small subunit ribosomal RNA", at positions 99 to 334 of the family's 1533-position model. The record is from RNAcentral.
CGGACGGGUGAGUAACGCGUGGGUAACCUGCCUCAUACAGGGGGAUAACAGUUAGAAAUGACUGCUAAUACCGCAUAAGACCACAGUACCGCAUGGUACGGUGUGAAAAACUCCGGUGGUAUGAGAUGGACCCGCGUCUGAUUAGCUAGUUGGUGAGGUAACGGCCCACCAAGGCGACGAUCAGUAGCCGACCUGAGAGGGUGACCGGCCACAUUGGGACUGAGACACGGCCCAG